UGGGAGAGUAAACUCUUUGUCCCAUUGUAUGGUGUGAACGAGCGAAUCUGAUGAAGGCCAAGGCCGACCGAACUGUGAGAUGUGUAGUGGGAUUAGUCGAUGUUGGAUUGCCAAGAAGAAUAGUGCAAAUUGCUAAUCGGAAAGUACAGAGAAGUGAUUCUAAUUAAUUAUAAAAAAGGCAAACGUGCGUUGGUUAAUACGGUGAAAUAAGAGAUCUUGUGAGGCUCAACUCCACGUGGUUCGUCAUUGGAAUUCACGGUCCCAGAAACCCCUGUUAACGUGGGGUUUUUGUCCGGAGUGAUCAAAUAUCACGAGUACCUCAACGGCCACGUGAUCGCUAUAGUCGCCAAUUCAUCCAAGCCCACGUGUAAGCUCAUCAAGCCUAAACAGCCCUGGUGACGCCCUCAGGCCUCCGGGACGGUCCAAGACUUCCUGGCCUCGUCGCUGUCCGCCUCCAAAACCCGCGUUGAGGGUCUGUGCACCCGAACAACAUCAGUGACGAUUCCUGCCGCGUGUUCGGCAAGACAAAACGUUCGUACCAGCAAAUCUGCAGGCCCUGACCCGCUCCGUCAGCGACGGAAACAACGAAGAAGACCUCGUCGACACAUCGGGCGUGAGCGGCCGAAGCCAUCGAAGUCGUAUCAUCACUGCCCUUGAGUAUCCGCGAGGACGGCCCGUUAUUUUCUCCCGUCUCGCUGGUGGAAACAAGCCGCGCUUCUCCCACCGUCUCGCCCGCUUCGGAGCCCGCAAUAAUUUCCAAUCUCGCUGCCGGGGAACGAGCCUCCGCAAUCUGCGUUGAGGACUGUUUCGUCGUUCGCUACCGGAGUGGUCAACCGAAGGCCACGGUGCCCCAUCGCUACCAUUUCGAGGGCUUACGCUAUUCGCAUCAUCGACCGGGGAAGGUUAUCCCCGCCGGCGUCAGAAGCUCGUGCUGACGACUGCUGGUCCUCGGGCUGUCUACCGGAAUCGAACGUGGUACCACGA
This is a long non-coding RNA of Armigeres subalbatus, 984 nucleotides long. RefSeq lists it as uncharacterized. The record is from RefSeq and is a predicted model, not a curated record. The transcript is spliced from 3 exons. Lineage: Eukaryota; Metazoa; Arthropoda; Insecta; Diptera; Culicidae.